RNAcentral lists this long non-coding RNA (1431 nucleotides) under Marmota monax (woodchuck). Lineage: Eukaryota; Metazoa; Chordata; Mammalia; Rodentia; Sciuridae. The record is from RNAcentral.
CAUUUAUAUUUUUUUGGUUGUAGUUGACACAAAACCUUUAUUUUAUUUAUUUAUUUUUAUGUGGUUCUGAGAAUUAAACCCAGGGCUUCUCAUGUGCUAGCCAGGUGCUCUACAAUUGAACCACUACCCCAGCCCUUAAUUUGUUUUAUUUUGUUAUACAUGACAGUAGAAUGCAUUUAUGCACUUUGAUAUAUCAUUCAUAGAUGGGAUAUUAUUAUAUUUUUCUGAGUGCACAUGUUGCAGAAUAAUAUUGGUCAUGUAGUCACAUAUAUACAUAGAGUAAUAAUAUCUGAUUCAUUCUACUAUAUUUCCUAUUCCCAUGUCCCCUCCACUCUCCUCCCACCACUUCCCACUACCUAAUUUAAGGUAACAAUACUCUUCCCUCCUGCCCCCUGCUUUGUUGUGAAUUAGCAUUCACAUAUUACAGAAAACAUUCAGCCUUUGGCUUUGUGGGAUUGAUUUUAUUUCGCUUAGCAUGAUAUUCUACAACUCCUACCAUUUAUUGGCAAAGCCAUAAUUUCACUUUUCCUUGAAGCUGAGUAGUAAUCCACUGAAUAUACAUACCACAUUUUCUUUCUCAAUUCUACUAUUGAGGGACAUCUAGAUUGGUUCCAUAGUCCAGCUAUUGUGACUUGACCUGCUAUAAAUAUUGAUAUACCUGUGUCACUAUUGUAUGCUGAUUUUAAAUAUUUUGGAGUGGGUCAAACGGUGGUUUCAUUUCCAGUUUUCUGAGGAAUCUCCAUACUGCUUUUUAUAGUGGUUUCACCAAUUUGCAAUUUCACCAGUAAUGUGUGAGUGUACUUUGCUCACCCCAUCCUCACCAACAUUUAUUGUUGCCUGUAUUCUUGAUGAUUGCCAUUCUGACAGUAAUGAUUUAGAAUAGUUUUAAUUUGUAUUUCUCUGAUUGCUAGAGAUAUUGAACACUUUUUCAUAUGUUUGUUGAUCAGUUGUGUUUCUUCUUCUGUGAAGUGUCUGUUAAUCUUUACAACAGCAGCUCCAAUAAAGCAUUAAUCUCUAAGAUAUAUAAAGAACUCAAAACCACCAAAAAUAAACAAACAAAUAAAUAAUCCAAUCAAUAAGUGGGCUGAGGAACUGAUCAGAAUAAAUCUUUAUUGAUGCCUAAGCCAAUCACUAUGGCCAGGAAGGUGCACUGCUUUCUUCUUGCUAAGGCUAGAUUACAAAUGGCACUCCUGGGAUACAAUAGUACCCUAUCUUCCAGUUGGAUCAGUUGAAGACAAUGGAAAGGGAAUACCCAAAAGGAAAUUGUCUAUGGGCAUGGUGGAACUCACCUCUAGUCCCAGAGGCUAAUUAGGAAAUCUGAAUUCAAAAUUUGAGGUCCUAAAAAGGGGAAGGAUGAAAUGAAUCAACUGUGGUUCAUGGUGUUUUUUCGCUUUGUUUUGUUUUGUAUUGUGUGUUUGUUUUUGGUAUUGA